This 253-nucleotide ribosomal RNA is filed under the name uncultured bacterium. RNAcentral's name for it is "partial 16S ribosomal RNA". It matches the Rfam family "Bacterial small subunit ribosomal RNA", at positions 524 to 776 of the family's 1533-position model. The record is from RNAcentral.
GACAGAGGGGGCAAGCGUUGCUCGGAAUUACUGGGCGUAAAGGGCGCGUAGGCGGCCUUCUAAGUCGAACGUGAAAUCCCCGGGCUCAACCCGGGAACUGCGUCCGAUACUGGAAGGCUUGAAUCCGGGAGAGGGAUGUGGAAUUCCAGGUGUAGCGGUGAAAUGCGUAGAUAUCAAGCGGAACACCGGUGGCGCAGGCGGCUUUCUGGACGAUUACUGACGCUGAGACGCGAAAGCGUGGGUAGCAAACAGG